Long non-coding RNA from Mastomys coucha (southern multimammate mouse), 348 nucleotides. RefSeq lists it as uncharacterized. NCBI's taxonomy places the organism in Eukaryota, Metazoa, Chordata, Mammalia, Rodentia, Muridae. The transcript is spliced from 2 exons. The record is from RefSeq and is a predicted model, not a curated record.
GGUCAGGCUGGGAGAGAGAGACAUCUUUGGGCCAGAAAACUACGAUGCUAGUCAGGUCCUGGGAGAGCUGAGUGCUUCAGUCAUUGUCCGGGCUGCGGCAUCAUCUGGGGCUAGGAAGGUGCGGGCCUAUUUGAAGCAGCCUGCAAAGCUGGACCAGCGAGGAUAGCUGCUUUGAAGCUGUCCAGGAUGCAGAUUUUGGAGGAACAAAACCUGGAAGAUGGUGAGCAGAGUAGGUGUGGUGUAUGGGGCAGAAGAUAAAGUCAUUCCCCAGGAGACACAAAUGAGAGCCACCACUGUAAAGCAAGUUCCUCUAAAUGAAGAAAUAGUAAAAAAGUUACUUUGAAUCAA